ACGAACGCUGGCGGCGUGCUUAACACAUGCAAGUCGAACGGAAAGGCCCUGCUUUUGUGGGGUGCUCGAGUGGCGAACGGGUGAGUAACACGUGAGUAACCUGCCCUUGACUUUGGGAUAACUUCAGGAAACUGGGGCUAAUACCGGAUAGGAGCUCCUGCUGCAUGGUGGGGGUUGGAAAGUUUCGGCGGUUGGGGAUGGACUCGCGGCUUAUCAGCUUGUUGGUGGGGUAGUGGCUUACCAAGGCUUUGACGGGUAGCCGGCCUGAGAGGGUGACCGGCAAAAUUGGGACUGAGAUACGGCCCAGACUCCUACGGGAGGCAGCAGUGGGGAAUAUUGCACAAUGGGCGGAAGCCUGAUGCAGCAACGCCGCGUGCGGGAUGACGGACUUCGGGUUGUAAACCGCUUUCGCCUGUGACGAAGCGUGAGUGACGGUAAUGGGUAAAGAAGCACCGGCUAACUACGUG
This 467-nucleotide ribosomal RNA is filed under the name uncultured bacterium. RNAcentral's name for it is "partial 16S ribosomal RNA". It matches the Rfam family "Bacterial small subunit ribosomal RNA", at positions 29 to 507 of the family's 1533-position model. The record is from RNAcentral.